UACAGGGGGGGCAAGCGUUGUUCGGAAUUACUGGGCGUAAAGGGCGCGUAGGCGGCCAUCUAAGUCAGACGUGAAAUCCUCCGGCUUAACCUGGGAACUGCGUCUGAUACUGGAAGGCUUGAGUAUGGGAGAGGGAUGUAGAGUUCCAGGUGUAGCGGUGAAAUGCGUAGAUAUCUGGAGGAAUACCGGUGGCGAAGGCGGCAUCCUGGACCAUUACUGACGCUGAGGCGCGAAAGCUAGGGGAGCAAACGGG
RNAcentral lists this ribosomal RNA (253 nucleotides) under uncultured bacterium. Its description in RNAcentral is "partial 16S ribosomal RNA". It matches the Rfam family "Bacterial small subunit ribosomal RNA", at positions 524 to 776 of the family's 1533-position model. The record is from RNAcentral.